Molecule: ribosomal RNA, 298 nt
Filed under: uncultured bacterium
Lineage: Bacteria
Description: partial 16S ribosomal RNA
Rfam family: Bacterial small subunit ribosomal RNA
Source: RNAcentral
GACGAACGCUGGCGGCGCGCCUAUAUUAGAUUAGCUAGUUGGUGGAGUAACAGCCUACCAAGGCAAUGAUCUAUAGCUGAUCUGAGAGGAUGAUCAGCCACACUGGAACUGAGAUACGGUCCAGACUCCUGCGGGAGGCAGCAGUGGGGAAUAUUGGACAAUGGGCGAAAGCCUGAUCCAGCCAUGCCGCAUGAGUGAAGAAGGCCUUUGGGUUGUAAAGCUCUUUUAGUGAGGAAGAUAAUGACGGUACUCACAGAAGAAGUCCUGGCUAACUCCGUGCCAGCCGCCGCUGUAAUAC